Vespula pensylvanica (western yellowjacket) is the source of this 191-nucleotide long non-coding RNA. RefSeq lists it as uncharacterized. The transcript is spliced from 3 exons. The record is from RefSeq and is a predicted model, not a curated record. Lineage: Eukaryota; Metazoa; Arthropoda; Insecta; Hymenoptera; Vespidae.
AUUUUGUGUUCGGUGAUCGACAGGUACACACGGAAGCUGUAUCGUCCUCAUUAAUUUCAGGUUUCCAAGAAUCCUACCUACCGACAGACGAAACAUCCCGGCUUUCUUUUUCUACAUAUACUUUGUCCUUCGUCCUGUGUAUAAGAUUUUAGAAAUUAUUUGUGACUGUGUGCAGAACGGUCUUAGAAUCA